AGAGUUUGAUUCUGGCUCAGGAUGAACGCUGGCGGCGUGCUUAACACAUGCAAGUCGAACGAAACAUUUACCGAACGAGGCUUCGGCCAAGCAAGGUUUAUGAUUUAGUGGCGGACGGGUGAGUAACGCGUGAGCAACCUGCCUUUCAGAGGGGGAUAACGUUUGGAAACGAACGCUAAUACCGCACAACGUAAGGAUAUCGCAUGGUAACCUUACCAAAGAUUUUUAUCGCCGAAAGAUGGGCUCGCGUCCGAUUAGGUAGUUGGUGAGGUAACGGCCCACCAAGCCGACGAUCGGUAGCCGGACUGAGAGGUUGAACGGCCACAUUGGGACUGAGACACGGCCCAGACUCCUACGGGAGGCAGCAGUGGGGAAUAUUGCACAAUGGGCGCAAGCCUGAUGCAGCAACGCCGCGUGAGGGAAGACGGUUUUCGGAUUGUAAACCUCUGUUCUUAGUGACGAAGAAGUGACGGUAGCUAAGGAGCAAGCCACGGCUAACUACGUGCCAGCAGCGGC
RNAcentral lists this ribosomal RNA (516 nucleotides) under uncultured bacterium. RNAcentral's name for it is "bacterial SSU rRNA". It matches the Rfam family "Bacterial small subunit ribosomal RNA", at positions 8 to 518 of the family's 1533-position model. The record is from RNAcentral.